Molecule: ribosomal RNA, 406 nt
Filed under: uncultured bacterium
Lineage: Bacteria
Description: partial 16S ribosomal RNA
Rfam family: Bacterial small subunit ribosomal RNA
Source: RNAcentral
AUUGAACGCUGGCGGCAGGCCUAACACAUGCAAGUCGAACGAGUGGCGGACGUGUUAGUAAUGUCUGGGCCACUGCCUGAUGGAUGGGGCUCACUACUGGACACUGUUGCUACUACCGCAUACACUCGGAUGUGCCCAGAUGGGAUUAGCUAGUUGGUGGGGUAACGGCUAACCAAGGCGACGAGCCCUAGCUGGUCUGAGAGGAUGACCAGCCACACUGGAAAUGAGACACGGUCCAGACUCCUACGGGAGGCAGCAGUGGGGAAUAUUGCACAAUGGGCGAAAGCCUGAUGCAGCCAUGCCGCGUGUAUGAAGAAGGCCUUCGGGUUGUAAAGGACUUUCAGCGGGGAGGCGUUACCCGCAGAAGAAGCACCGGCUAACUCCGUGCCAGCAGCCGCGGUAAUAC